CACCACACACACACAGACCGGAAACCACACGCAGACUUGCACAGCUCACUCGGUCCCGCGAAGAGGGACGAGACAAGACGCAGCUCUGGUUCUAGGUCCAGCCUCUAUGAAGCCUCCCCAGCCUGCCCCAUCCCAGUCCACACUGAUGCCUGCAGCUCUUGUAUGGUGGAAGGUUUUUCUCAGCUUCAACAAGGAGGCAGCAGCAUGUGGUGGUUGAAAGGACAGGUUCUCAAGGUAAGUACUUCAGCAUCAGAUGGACAUGGGGUUGAAAUCUGGUUUGCCCAAUUCCUCCAGCAUGUGGCUCUGGAAAAGUCCUGAAUUUAAGAUGUCAUCGGUGCCCUGCCUGCAUCUCCUUGGCACUCACUGUUCCCAGGUCAGCUUCUAGGGGAGCCCCACCCCAAAUGCCAUGUCGCCUAGGCUCUUCUACACAUGGAGACCACAACUGCAUCUGGACGUGGAGGUUUGCAUGGCUGUGAUGCUGUACGUGAAGUGCUGGCCUGUAGUACUUGAUGCACAAGGAACCGCAUGGGCAAGUAUAGAUUUUCUAAACUAUCCUUUCCCUUUGGGGCCCUGGGAAAGCCCAAAAAUCAGGGAACAACAGACACUGACUCCCUGCGUAAGCUGAUUGUAAAAGCCAGUCCUGCUUCUUUCCUGCAGGACUGGGGAUUUUACAAACAUACGGACAUGAGAGACUCAAACCUCGAUCCUGGCACUUCAAAAUAUGUUAGUCACGUGAGCCUGUGGUGGGUGCCCCCCUCUCUCAAUGGGGGGUGCUGUUUACAGUUAACAAUUGAUCAGAACAGGUAAAGGGUAAUUAAAAUGUAUUCGCCCAACAAAUGGGCAUUCCUUUUAUAAUAAUGAAAAAAACCUCUCUGUUCGUAAAGAGUUGUCUGCAUCAUAAAUAAGAAAGGUAUUCAUAAUUAUAUCCCAAAACUGAAAAGACAACAAGUGUCUCCCAAGGUGGAUUGUGAAAUCAACUCGGUGCUUCAACGUACUUGGAAAGUCAGCCUGGUUUUUGUUUUGUUUUGUUUUUGUUUUUGUUUUGAGACAGAGUUUAGCUCUUGUUGCCCAGGCUGUAGUGCAGUCUCGGCUCACUGCAACCUCUGCCUCCCGGGUUCAAGCGAUUCUCCUGCCUCAGCCUCCCGAGUAGCUGGGAUUACCGGUGCCUGCCACCACACCCAGCUAAUUUUUGUAUUUUUAGUAGAGACAGGGUUUCCUAUGUUGGCCAGGCUGGUUUCAAACUCCUGACCUCAGAUGAUCCACCCACCUUGGCCUCCCAAAGUGCUAGGAUUACAGGCGUGAGACACCGCGCCUGGCCCCUCCUGUUUUUGAGUAGGGGGGUUUAGUGGCUGGACCUUACCUUCUCAGAAGGGAGGAAGGGUGGCUGUGACUCCAUGGGGCAAGACUUAGGGUCAGGGGUAGCAGCCCCAAUAUCUCUCAGCUCCAUGUGGAGAGCUGGGAUAAGGAAGCCACUUCACCCCUUCCUCUUUGCAGUGCAGGCCCCAGUGAGGGUAGCCCAAUGGGGUAGCCCUUAGCUUGUUACCAUCCCAGACAACUCAGGAUCUGUGGAGCUGGCGGGGGCUCUGCCUCCAGGGGUGCCAGCAACAACCCCUGUCGUCAUGGGCGGGACCUGUGCUCAGACUCCCUUACCUCCCUUCUUCACUGUGUGCCCCUGGUCAAGAGAGUCCCACUCCCUUCACAGCAGCCGAUAUUUUUAGCUCUCAAACCAAAGCUAUCCUGUGUGCUGCUCUUUCAUAUUAGGGAGGCAGCAGGAAGACGGUCUCUGGCACUCUGAGAGCUCAGUUCAUUUUCUAAAUCAUUUUGCAGACAUUAACUCAUCAAUCUCUAUAACGCGCUCAUGGAGGUGCUGAGGCAGCCCUGGCAGAACCCUGGAUCUCAGAGCAAUUAAGUGAUUUGCCCUGGCUCACAGGAGGGAUGUGCAAGUCAGUGUCAGGCGCAGCCUUUGGGAGGCCCCGAGGCUCUGCACAGGUGCUUGAUGACGCAAGCCAUGCAUCUGGCUCUGCAUCCUCGUGCGGUUCUCCAAGGCGGGGUAGGUACCGGCCGUGGUUGACGUAGGGCACACAUGCCACACGGUAAAGCCUCGACAGCCAAACACAGUUCUGCUUUCCCUGAUGCCAAAAAUGAGGUGACGGGCACAGGCAAUAAACGACACCCAGGAGCACCCCCCUGACCCCUUUGAUGGGGUGAUGCCAUCUUCGAAAGCUCACCACUGCCGGUCCAAUGGGACUGCUCCCCGCUGCAGGUCCUGUGGAAGCGCGGGGCUGGAGGAAACAGGCCAGUGGGCUCGUCCAAGUUGCAAGACUGGGCCCAGCCGAUGGCAGGGCGAUGGGAGAGAGGAGGAGCCCCAAAGACUCUCCUCCUGGUUGGCACAAGGGGUACUAAAAAGGGGAAUGGCCAUCAGCACAACUGCGGAGGAAGUGAAGCAGAGGCAACCAGAGGGGAGCCGAGAGGAUGCCACUGGCUCUCUCUCCACCCUCAUCGGGUCACCAGCUCUUUGCCUAAAUAGAAGCGUGGAUGCUACGGCACCUUCCAAUAAACACAUCCAAAUCAGCUGCAAAUUAAUUUGUUUCAGCAAUCAAGAGCCGUGCCCUACAUCCAUUGCUUGAUGCUUAGCACAUUCUCCAGUUUGAUUUCUUUUCUUUUUAGAUUUUUAAAAAAGAUGUCAUAUUUUUAGAGCAGUUUUAGGUUCACAGUAAAACCAAGCAGAAGGAAUAGAGCUUACCCAGAGAGCCCCUGCCCCUCACGUGCAGUCUCCCCAGUCAUCAACACCCCCCUGGAGUGGGCCAUUUGUUACAACUGAGAGCCUACAGUGUCACUCGAAGUCCAUAGUUUACAUUAGGGUUCACUCUUGGGCUUGUACAUUCUACCAGUUUGGACAAAUGCGUAACGACAUGUAUCAAUUUUUAUCAUUAAUGGGGAAAAUCAGAUACAUACAUCAGAUAGGGAAUCCUAGAGCCAACCCUUAGCAUAAAUUAAACACUUCCUGUUCCUCUCCCCAUUUUACUAAAUCAAUGAUGUUCACAUGGAAAGAAACCUUGCAACAGGGACUGUCAGAAUAGAUCAGAACAUCAUCCUUCUAGAGAGGCAUGUUUCAGACAGCCUAACCUCUAAGGUCU
Homo sapiens (human) is the source of this 3137-nucleotide long non-coding RNA. NCBI's taxonomy places the organism in Eukaryota, Metazoa, Chordata, Mammalia, Primates, Hominidae. The record is from Ensembl.